UUCCAGCUCCAAUAGCGUAUAUUAAAGUUGUUGCAGUUAAAAAGCUCGUAGUUGAAUUUCGGGGUUAGUAGGCUGGUCAUGCCUCCGGUAUGUACUGGUCUCACUGAUUCCUCCUUCCUGAUGAACCGUAAUGCCAUUAAUUUGGUGUUGCGGGGAAUCUGGACUGUUACUUUGAAAAAAUUAGAGUGUUUAAAGCAAGCUAACGCUUGAAUACAUUAGCAUGGAAUAAUGAAAUAGGACGUUCGAUCCUAUUUUGUUGGUUUCUAGGAUUGACGUAAUGAUUAAUAGGGAUAGUUGGGGGCAUUAGUAUUCAAUUGUCAGAGGUGAAAUUCUUGGAUUUAUUGAAGAUUAACUACUGCGAAAGCAUUUGCCAAGGAUGUUUUCAUUAAUCAAGAACGAAAGUUAGGGGAUCGAAGACGAUCAGAUACCGUCGUAGUCUUAACCAUAAACUAUGCCGACUAGGGAUCGG
Molecule: ribosomal RNA, 469 nt
Filed under: uncultured Glomus
Lineage: Eukaryota; Fungi; Glomeromycota; Glomeromycetes; Glomerales; Glomeraceae
Description: SSU rRNA
Rfam family: Eukaryotic small subunit ribosomal RNA
Source: RNAcentral